This 460-nucleotide ribosomal RNA is filed under the name uncultured bacterium. Its description in RNAcentral is "partial 16S ribosomal RNA". It matches the Rfam family "Bacterial small subunit ribosomal RNA", at positions 338 to 795 of the family's 1533-position model. The record is from RNAcentral.
CCUACGGGUGGCAGCAGUGAGGAAUAUUGGUCAAUGGGCGCGAGCCUGAACCAGCCAAGUAGCGUGAAGGAUGACGGCCCUACGGGUUGUAAACCUCUUUUAUAAAGGACUAAAGUGAGGCACGUGUGCCGUUUUGUGUGUACUUGAUGAAUAAGGAUCGGCUAACUCCGUGCCAGCAGCCGCGGUAAUACGGAGGAUCCGAGCGUUAUCCGGAUUUAUUGGGUUUAAAGGGAGCGUAGGUGGGUUGUUAAGUCAGUUGUGAAAGUUUGGGGCUCAACCGUAAAAUUGCCAUUGAUACUGGUAGUCUGGAGUAAAGUAGAGGUAGGCGGAAUGCGUGGUGUAGCGGUGAAAUGCUUAGAUAUCACGCAGAACUCCGAUUGCGAAGGCAGCAUACUAACCUGCCACUGACAUUGAUGCUCGAAAGUGUGGGUAUCAAACAGGAUUAGAUACCCUAGUAGUC